RNAcentral lists this ribosomal RNA (163 nucleotides) under Amaranthus tricolor (Joseph's coat). RNAcentral describes it as "5.8S ribosomal RNA". It matches the Rfam family "5.8S ribosomal RNA". From Rfam's summary of the family: 5.8S ribosomal RNA (5.8S rRNA) is a component of the large subunit of the eukaryotic ribosome. It is transcribed by RNA polymerase I as part of the 45S precursor that also contains 18S and 28S rRNA. RNAcentral also lists the same sequence under 2 other names. Lineage: Eukaryota; Viridiplantae; Streptophyta; Magnoliopsida; Caryophyllales; Amaranthaceae. The record is from RNAcentral.
UAAACGACUCUCGGCAACGGAUAUCUUGGCUCUCGCAUCGAUGAAGAACGUAGCGAAAUGCGAUACUUGGUGUGAAUUGCAGAAUCCCGUGAACCAUCGAGUUUUUGAACGCAAGUUGCGCCCGAAGCCUUUGGCCAGGGCACGUCUGCCUGGGCGUCACGCA